RNAcentral lists this small RNA (3026 nucleotides) under Pan troglodytes (chimpanzee). RNAcentral describes it as "processed transcript". The record is from RNAcentral. Lineage: Eukaryota; Metazoa; Chordata; Mammalia; Primates; Hominidae.
UCUUUCUCCUCUACUAAUUGACAGGCAUUCCUGCCUCUAAGCAUUUGCACGUAACAGUCCUCUCUCUUGAAUACCCUUCCACUCUAUGGAUUUCAGUGCAUUGAAAUCCCGUGUGCAUACAGGGCCUAGCCCAGAUCCUGCUCUCCUCACUGGACUCUUCCAUUACUGUCCCAGCUCUCCUCCAGCAUAUAAUUGUCUAUGCCUCUGAGAGCCACUGAGCAGAACCUGCCUGGCAUAGUCUGCCACAUAUCUCCUCUUUUAGACCUUCCUGGGGACCCUUGGGUGUGGGGAUCCAAGUCUGAAGUAUUUUCUAUUUUGUGGCCUAGGAGGUGCUCCCUGAGUUUGUUGAUAGGAGGCUAGAAGAAGAGGUCUUGAAGUUAAACCUUGGAGAAAGGUGGGAUUUGGAGAAAUUGAGAGGCUCGUUAGACUCAGAUGGGUCAGACCUGAGGCAUCCAGGAGAGUUGGGGGCAGGAUGGAAAUGUGCACCUAGAGAAGGGGGCAGUGGACAGAGUCACUGUCCAAAGCUCUAGGACCUAGCCAUCUCCCUUGCCAGGUCCUCAGGCCCUUACAUGGGCUGAUUAGCAAUGCCCAGGUUUGCUUCACUGCAACUAUCUUGUCCAUUUUUGCUUUAGAGGAGCAGUUUAUCCUUUCCCAGGUUGCACUCCUGGAGCAGGUGAAUGCCUUGGUGCCCAUGCUGGACAGUGCUCACAUCAAAGGUAUCUCUCUGGGGUUAUAGCUUCACUACUCUGGUUGGGGAGGUAGGUGGAUGGAUGGGCAAGACUUUCCUGUGUUUCAGGUUGUGUGGAUUCGGGUUGGGUCUGUUCCUUAUCUUUUUUUUUUUUUUUUGGACAGAGUCGUACUCUGUCACCCAGGCUGGAGUUGCAGUGGCAUGAUCUUGACUCACUGCAACCGCUGCCUCCUGGUUCAAACAAACUUCCCACCUCGCCUCCCAAGUAGCUAGGAUUACAGGUGUGUGCCACCACACCUGGCUAUUUUUAGUAGAGACGGGGUUUCACCAUGUUGUCCAGGCUGGUCUCAAACUCCUGGCCCCAUGUGAUCCACCUGCCUCGGCCUCUCAGAGUGCUGGGAUUACAGGCGUGAGCUACUGUGCCUGGCCUGUUCCUUAUCUUUAUCCUCACCCUGAGGUACUUGCCACAUCCACCAAUUAAAAUUACCAGGAUAGAGAGCCCAGUUUUAGGACCUCAGGCAAUUUGGGCCUGAGAACACUAGCCUAAGCUCUAGCAGUCCCCAGCUCUGGGGAUUCCUUCUGCCUUCUACCUACCCCCAAGCAUCUCUUCUUCAAGGUGCUGCAGAACCCAGAUUUUACUAUCAGAGUCUCUGCCAGGUCCAUGAAUGUAUGUGAAUUCUUUCUGCUGCACUGCUGAGAGCAGUCCCUGGGCCUGGACUUUGACAAGCAGAUAGUGGCUUUAAUUGAAUCCAGAUAUCCAUCUUGUCUGUCUGUGGAGGUAUUUUUCCCAGCUCCCCCUCCCUACCCCUCAUCAGCUGCCCGCUGAGUAUCUGACAGCCUUAAGCUUUGAGCCCAGCAUGGUGGCCAAGCCUUGGCGUGUUGGAUUCCAGCUUAGGGACCUGGCAUCCAUCUUCAGACUCCCUGUUCCCUAGGCCAGGCAGACCUGCCCCCGCUGGGCUGAGAGCAAAGGGACAGGUCCUAUAAUAGCCAAAGCUCUCUUUACCUGGUCCUGCUUAUAGCACUGGGGUGGGGGUAGGGAGCAACACUGGGAACCCCCAGGUUUUGUCUUCUCCUUGGGACAUGUAUCUUCCCCUCCCCUAUGGGUCCUGGAGUAAGACUGGAGUGGGCAGGGAGCCCCACUGCCACCUCCAGCUGCAGCGGUCGAUGAAGUCUGGCGUUUGUUUAGCUUCUCCACUCAAUACUCUAAUCCUGCCAAAGACCUAAUAGACUAUUGAGCAGUCCCGGGGGAGGGCACAAGCAUCAUCCAGCAGUGUGUGUUGUGUUUUACAGCCGUUCCUGAGCAUGCUGCCCGCCUGCAGCGCUUGGCCCAGAUCCACAUUCAGCAGCAGGUAUGGGAGGGGAGAUGACUAGAAGCGAAGAUGGAGGUGGCGCAGCACCUCAUCCCAACUCAUGCCACCUGGGGAAGCAGCUUCAGGCCUUUCUGUUGUAACCUCAGCAGAAACUUUGGGGUUUAUCCUUUAUCUUGCAUAUGCCCCAGGGAGGUAAAGGGACUUGCCUAGGUUCAUGUACAAACUUUCUGCUUCCAGAGCAGGACUUUAUUGGGACACCAUAAGGUUGAGGCUGGGAGGUACCCAAGAAUUCCUGGGGAUGGUAUGUCAUUGACUGUGGGUAGAGGGGCUCUUUUUUCACUAUUCCCAGGCCCUAGUGUAAAGUUCAAAGAGAGUUCAGAAAUAAGGACAGAAGAAGAGACAUACACUAGGGGGAAUGUUUACUUAAUGUAUGGCCACUCCCUUUUCCAUCAGUCUUUGGACUGCUGUUAGGGCACCCAUCCUGGAGCCUGAAAGUGCUCCCAUAGCCAUUUGCUCCUUUGGCUUUGGGGUUAAGCGUCAUCUUUUUUAGGCUCCAUGGGGAGUGGGAGUCCGUGAUGAGGCAGGAAGUUUAGUGGAAGAUGUGGGCUUUGCCCAGUUCCUUUCUGUGCUACACUUUGGCCCUACAGGACCAGUGUGUGGAGAUCACUGAGGAGUCCAAGGCUCUCCUGGAGGAAUACAACAAGACUACAAUGCUUCUCUCCAAGCAAUUCGUGCAGUGGGAUGAGCUACUUUGCCAGCUAGAGGCCGCCACGCAAGUGAAGCCAGCAGAGGAGUGAUAGCUGCUCCCCAUCCCAAAGUGGGCCUGGGCAGUCAGGCUCCAGGGCCCUAUGCCAACCUGCCUUUGUUACAAGGCAGAGGAAGCUUUGUAUUUAUUGGCUUCAAGGCCCACCUCUCUGUACUCUGGGCUCUAAAGUUGGAGGUCAGGUUACCUGAGGUUUGCAAUUUGCAACACCCACCCUCCCCCCAAUCAGUGUUCUUAUUUCAGUGACAAUAAACCAUAGAGAUGA